GAAAAUCGCAUCAAAAAUUGCAAGUGUAAACGGGCCUUUACAAAUCCUUCAAUACUUAGGAUUUACCUGCUCGAGUGUAAACCAACCUUGUAUAAGACUGCCUACCAAUCCCCGUUGACUCGAUUGUCCAAUGGUCUAGAUACCCGAGUUCGAACGAAGUUCUGAUUGUAUUCUGCAGUGUCAGAAUAACAUGAAACUGAUUUUUCAUACAUCUGAGGAUGGUUCUGAAAAAUUCUCAGUCCAGUGUAUUUUUAUUAUACAGAUACUCUGUUGAUGUACAGAUUGACAAAAGUGUCGUGAACAAAGAUGUUUUGAAAGAUGCCGCAGCAAAACGUAAAGCAAGGACUGAGGUGAAAUCGAAAUUUGAAGAAAGGUAUUGUUGGAAAUUUACUUGAAGAAAUUAUAAAGUAUGAAAACGUGUAUUACGUCUAGUUCAAUGUGCCGAACCUAAGAUAAAUAUACACUACCUACACUCUUAUGCAUUACAUAGGUUUGGCCAGGGUUUGAGAUAUGCAGCAUGCUACAAUCUUGGACAUAACUGGUUGAGACCUUCCCCUCAAUACAAAAUUCCCGUACCCCUUAUGAUAAAUCUGACAUGCCUGUAGAAAAGGAAAAAAUUCGUCUUGGCGAAUAAAAAUUUCAAAUUGGAUAUUCAGUGCUGUAGCAGGAAAAGCCUGGGAUCUCUAGGCCAAGAGAUCUCGGGAAUCUGGCUGGCCACAGGAAAAUCUAAAGUUUCUUCGAACUGACUCAACUGAGGACUAUUUUAGUGAUUUUACAUCACAUAAUUUGUGACUUGUGAGGAUGAGAAUUCAGAAAGUAUCAUAUAAUACACAUUGGAAGGAACAUUUGUGAUUUGUGCAGAAGAAUUAAGUAUUAGAACUGAAGCAUUCAUAUUUCAUAAUUGAUAUUUGAUAAUUCAAUUUCAAUCAUCAAUUAAGUUUAACAGACAAGUGUGAACUGUUACAGUUCGGAUUUUCAACAGUAAUCAUCACUAUGUUGACUAUUCUACAGUAAUGUGGUGACUUUUUUCAGUUUGUGUCAUUUAAUCGUUGUAAUAAUCAUUCUUAAUUUCUUAUGUAAACUUUUGCUUGCAACUUGCAACUUGCAAGAUGAUUUUUCAGUUUGGUCACGAAAAAUUUCGUCUUGGCCCAGCACACCUAUAGGAAGCUUUUCUACAUGCAUGAAUAGAUUCCAUGUUGAAUCAUGUUGGGCCUUUUAAGCCCUCGCUCCCUCAACUCAAUGUUGAACUUGUGUCGUGGUAAAUUACCAAAAGUUGUUUCGGCGUUGUUCACAGCAUUGAACUGGAGGGAGAGGAUGGCAAAGUUUGUUUUGCCAACGUACACUAACUCAAUAUUGGCUGAAACGGUCUCAGCGUUAUCUCCAAGAUUGUAGUGUCCUGAUAAUACCAGUUCCAAAUUUUGGAUACCAGAUGUUGAAACUUUGGCAACUAUAAAUACUAAUAGACUGAUAUAGCAUGUUUCAUUUUGGGGCGGGUUUUAUCCACCGGACAGUGAUUUUUUCAAAAGUGCUUGAAAUAGAGUGGAUCGAUAUCGCAAAUACCGAUAUACCGCCAUCAGAAUGCCGGUAUACCGGUAUUUUUAACGUGUUUUUUUUUAAGCCAAACUGAACUGCUGACCGUCGAGAAAAAUCAAGUUUUGACAAAAUAUUAAUGUGGCACAUACUGUUAUUAGUGCAAAUGUCACAAGAUUCGCAUUAUCAAGCUAUGUUAACGGCGCUAAGCGGCAAUUAUUAGUAGGCCGCCGAUUGGGCGUCGAAGUGUUGAAUCUGUGAGUAUUAACUUUGCUUUCUAAACGUGAUUGUAAGCAAGUUUGACUUGAAAUAGCGUUUCAAUUCGGUAUUAGGCAGCAAAAUAGCGAAAUGUCAGUAUAUCGGUAUUUUUAAAUUGUCAAUAUCGCCAAACCGGUAUCUAAAUAAAUACCGGUAUACCGGAUAUAUCCGGUAUAUCGAUCCACUCUAGCUUGAAAACUUAUGAACCUCACAAUCACUAAAUCACAAUUUCGAGUUUUCCCAAUUUCCACAAGUGUUGAUAUAAUAUAGCACAAAGAAAGAAAAAAAGAAAUAAAUUUUCCGACGUUUCCGUGUUGACAUUGAGUUAUAUCAACACGGCUCUUAGCCAAUCAGCGUUCAGAAUUUACAAAUGCUAUAUUAUAAAUAGCAUUCCCAUCCAAUUUGUAUCAUGUUUACCAUGGCUCGCAUUGUGAAUCAGGUACAUAUCGACUGCUCAUGCUUUCUAUAGCUAAAGUAUAUACAUAAAACAAGCGUUUUAGUAUAAGUAAAUAUGUAUUUUCUCUGUAUGUGCUCAUCAUUGUAUUAUUUUUUUACAUCUAGAUACAAGACAGGAAAAAACAAGUGGUUUUUCCAGAAACUAAGGUUCUAGGAAGAUGGUUGUAAUGUUCAUAUAAAAUAAAUUGCCCACUGUUCAUUGUGU
This 2449-nucleotide long non-coding RNA is filed under the name Paramuricea clavata. Lineage: Eukaryota; Metazoa; Cnidaria; Anthozoa; Malacalcyonacea; Plexauridae. The record is from RNAcentral.